RNAcentral lists this long non-coding RNA (512 nucleotides) under Homo sapiens (human). Its description in RNAcentral is "HSALNT0077697". Lineage: Eukaryota; Metazoa; Chordata; Mammalia; Primates; Hominidae. The record is from RNAcentral.
CCUGAAUCAGUUGUUUACUGUCUUCCACUUUAAAUCAGGAAUGAGAACUGUAGAGAACAUAUCAAAUUUGUGCAGAGCACAGAUUCACUGGGCUGCUUUCUGGCUCAACUCUGAUGGCGAGACUGAAAAAUAACGGUUUGAGUUUAGUCUUCCCCACCUGGAGUUCUUUCCAGAAUACAGUUUUGGAUCUGAAAACAGAAUCGUUGAAACAACGUAGACUUCAGGGUCAGAGAGAACUGUAUUUAAAGGCUAAACUAUAGUUUACCAGGCACAUGACAUUGGCCAAGUCACUUAACCGUUUUAAGCCUCAGUUUUCCCAGAAAGAGGAUAACAUCUUAGUAACUUAGAUAUUGAAGUAGUUGUGAUUAUUUAAAGCAAGUCCAUUGAGCACCUUACAGAGAGCAUAUAUUAGGCAUUUAGUAAGUGGUAGGCUAUUAUUUUUAUUAGGAACAAGACACUGAUGUUUACAAUAUUUUAACUAAUGAGCUUUCUGAGGUGAAAAAAUAUUCCUG